UUCGCAAUGCCCGAAAGGGUGACGAAGCGACGCCGCGUGCGGGAAGAAGGCCUUCGGGUUGUAAACCGCUGUCGGGAGUUAAGAAAUGCAAGGGUGUUAACAGCAUCCUUGCUUGACUAAGGCUCCGGAGGAAGCCACGGCCAACUCUGUGCCAGCAGCCGCGGUAAUACAGAGGCGGCAAGCGUUGUUCGGAAUUAUUGGGCGUAAAGAGCACGUAGGCGGCUGUGUAAGUCGGUUGUGAAAGCCUUCCGCUCAACGGGAGAACGGCAUCCGAUACUGCAUGGCUAGAGUGCGGGAGGGGAGAGUGGAACUUCUGGUGGAGCGGUGAAAUGCGUAGAUAUCAGAAGGAACACCGGCGGCGAAGGCGACUCUCUGGCCCGUAACUGACGCUGAGUGUGCGAAAGCUAGGGGAGCAAACGGGAUUAGAUACCCCGGUAGUCCUAGCCGUAAACGAUGGGCACUAAGUAGAGGGGUUUU
RNAcentral lists this ribosomal RNA (477 nucleotides) under uncultured anaerobic ammonium-oxidizing bacterium. RNAcentral's name for it is "bacterial SSU rRNA". It matches the Rfam family "Bacterial small subunit ribosomal RNA", at positions 365 to 832 of the family's 1533-position model. The record is from RNAcentral.